This is a long non-coding RNA of Trichomycterus rosablanca, 292 nucleotides long. RefSeq lists it as uncharacterized. The transcript is spliced from 3 exons. NCBI's taxonomy places the organism in Eukaryota, Metazoa, Chordata, Actinopteri, Siluriformes, Trichomycteridae. The record is from RefSeq and is a predicted model, not a curated record.
CGACAUCUCAGAGGGAACGUCUUGUGUGGUUGAGGACAGCUCCGAGCUGCACAAGUGCUAUGAGGUUCACGAAUUCAUUGGAUCAGGUGGUUAUGCGAUGGUCAAGCUUGGCAGGCACAUUCGGACUGAAGAACCAGUGGCUAUCAAGAUUCUGGAGAAGAAAGAGCUCGGGGAUGAGUUGCCAGAUUUGAGGAUAGAGAUUGAAGCCCUGAAGAACCUCAAUCAUCAGCACGUGUGCCGCUUGUACCAAGUCAUGGAGACAGCUGACCAGAUCUACAUGGUGCUUGAGGUA